GUUGUAGAUGAACAAUAGAACGUUCAGAUAUGCUUAUCGAAUGCUAGUAUUGAGUUUAUGCCAUCGAUUUGUUAAAUUGUGAACUGAUUUAUAGUUAUCGCCAGUGAAUUUGUUGUUGAUUUGAUAAGACUAUUGGACUUGUGAAGUAGUUUGCUAGCCGAAUAUCGUGUACUGUUAAUCGAGCCGUUAAUAGAAAUUGAGACUUACGCGCUACUUGGUUUGUACUAUCAACCACAGGCGAUAGUUGCUGAUAGGCCUACCAUUGUGGGUACAAUAACCUGUGUAGGAAGGACUAAAUGCUUUGAGCUGCAAACAUCAACCGCUGCUGUUAGAUCCCUUACCUACCCGAACAUUCUCAAAGAUUUACCACUUAGCUUGCGAUGGAUGUGCUGUAUGGUAUCACUACGCAUGUGCCAAAGUGUCUUCCGGCAUCCAGGAUCGGUCCUGGAGCUGUAGUUCAUGCCAAUUCAAUCUGGUUCCGGAAUCGAAGGGGGUCACGAAAAAAGGAGGCAAGAAACAUGCAACAACUUCAGCUUUCCUUGGUCCUGUACCGAGUGAGAUAACACAGCUGAGCAAUGCUAAUCCAAAGAGGACCACGGAAAAAUCAAAAGGAUCGAGAACAUCGAAGAGACUUGCUGUGCCGGAUCCACCAGUGAAUGACGAGAUUACGCCGAUUAGACACCCGGAGAUUCGUGUAUUGGUGCAGUUGAACCGUGUAGAUCAGAGCUUCCCAAACCUUUGGGUAUGUGACCCACCUAGCAAAAUUCUAUAUGUCUCGCGACCCACCUAUGAAAAAAUGCAUUUUACCAAGUAGUAUAGUUAUGCUUAAAUUGAAUCAGAAUGUCAUCUGUUUCGGCUUCUUCCACCUAAAAAAUAUUCACGUUACCUUGUACAAAUGUACAUGUAGAAAUGCAAAAAAUGACGAACAUGGUAUUGUUUGUCAAAAUGUGAGCGUUUUUAUUUUACUUCAUUAAGGGGACAGCUUUAAGGCAUAAAUGUUUAAAUAAAAUAACGUGG
This is a long non-coding RNA of Armigeres subalbatus, 1017 nucleotides long. RefSeq lists it as uncharacterized. The transcript is spliced from 4 exons. The record is from RefSeq and is a predicted model, not a curated record. NCBI's taxonomy places the organism in Eukaryota, Metazoa, Arthropoda, Insecta, Diptera, Culicidae.